Long non-coding RNA from Symphalangus syndactylus (siamang), 14928 nucleotides. RefSeq lists it as uncharacterized. Lineage: Eukaryota; Metazoa; Chordata; Mammalia; Primates; Hylobatidae. The record is from RefSeq and is a predicted model, not a curated record.
CCACGCCCGGCUAAUUUUUUGUAUUUUUGGUAGAGACGGGGUUUCACCGUGGUCUCGAUCUCCUGACCUCGUGAUCCGCCCGCCUCGGCCUCCCAAAGUGCUGGGAUUACAAGCGUGAGCCACCGCGCCCGGCCUAAAAAAAAAACUAGAUUUCAUUUGCAAAAUUCUAAAAUAAAUUUUGGAUGUUUUUCUAUAUGCAAGUUACUUUCAUAUUCGAAAGAAGAUUGACCCUUUUAUAUAAGUGAAUAAAUGUACCUGUGGAACACUACAAAUAUAAAAGCUCUGUCAAAAGGAGGCUUUCUCCCAAUAUUUUUUCUCCAUUCUUUCUUUGUAGAAUCCCUAGUUUUUAGAGGGCCUCUCUCUGUCCAGAAAAAGAUUGUAUUUCUCCACUUCCCUUGUAACUUGGCGUGGCGAUGUCUGUCCAACUGGACAUAAGCAGGAGUGGUGCAUGGAAUUUUCAGGAAAUGUCCUUAAAGGGAAAAGGUUCUACUUUUCUCCUUUUUUUUUUUUUUUUUUUUGAGACAGAGACGCUCUGUCGCCCAGGCUGGAGUGCAGUGGUGCGAUCUCGGCUCACUGCAAGCUCCGCCUCCCAGGUUCACGCCAUUCUCCUGGCUCAGCCUCCCGAGUAGCUGGGACUACAGGCGCCUGCCACCAUGCCCGGCUAAUUUUUUGUAUUUUUAGUAGAGACGGGGUUUCACUGUGUUAGCCAGGAUGGUCUCGAUCUCCUGACCUCAUGAUCCGCACGCCUAGGCCUUCCAAAGUGCUGGGAUUACAGGCGUGAGCCACCGCGCCUGGCCUAUUUUCUCCUUUCUGGCUACAAUGUUAAUGUGAGAGCUGGAGCGUGAAUACACACCUUGGACUAUGAGUGGAAACCAUGUACUAAGGAUGAUAGAGCCAAAGAUAAGAGCCGGGUUUCCUGGCAUUGUGGGACAGCGUGUCACCUCUAGAGAGACUACUACCUCUCUAGAGAGAUUUUUAAUGUGAGUAAGAAAAUAAUCUGCUUUUUUGAUAAACCACUGUAAUUUUGCAUUUACUGUUAUUCGUAGCUAAACUAAUUUAAAUGGGUAAACCCUCAAAUAUGGGAAGAAAUUAUCUCCUUUUGAAAAUACACCAUACUGGCUGGGCGUGGUGGCUCACAGCUGUAAUCUCAGCACGUUGGGAGGCCAAUAUGGGUGGAUCACCUGAGGUCAGGAGUUCAAGACCAGCCUGGCCAACAUGGUGAAACCCCGUCUGUACUAAAAAUACAAAAAAUUAGCUGGGCGUGGUGUUGGGCACCUGUAAUUCCAGCUACUCGGGAGGCUGAGCAGGAGAAUCACAUGAACCUGGGAGGCAGACGCAGUGAGCCGAGAUGGUGCCACCGCAUUCCAGCCUGGGCAACAAGAGUGAAACGCCAUCUCAAAAAAAGAAAAGAAAAGAAAGAAAAUACACCAUACUGACGGUACUGUACUCCAAGUUAUUUAGUUUGGCCUAAUGGUGGCGUCUCCAUGAAGUAAUUCAAAUCUGAAUGAUGUUUCUAUUAAAAAAAAAUACAGCUCACUCCAAUUUCUUUUUCUGUUGGCGUCAGUACCUUGAAUAUGAUGUUCACUUCCUUUGAAUAAAUAGCAUCUUGAAAAGUGGAAGUAGAGUAUCUAAAGCAAACUCAAACCUGCUUUGAAAAAAAAGGCAAAUUCAGUAACAUUUUCAAUGCUUGUGUCUAAUGCAAUUGUGAAAAAAAAUUAGUGUCAUGGGUAAUUUAUGUCCUGAUGAAUUCAAAAGAUUGGGUGUUGAAUUAAUGGUGAGUUUUGCACUGAAGAGGAUUGCUGCUGUAUUCUUUGUUGACCUGUAUGGUAAUUGCAUAUAUUUGCUUUUAAUUAUCAAUUAAACUGUAUGUUUAUGUGCUUUUCUGCAUUAUAUCUCAUAAAGGAUUAAAGAAGUGAAUUUUGUGGUUUCUUUUUAAAAUAUACCUUUUACUUUUAAAAGCCAAUAUUUUGUUUUUGACAAGAAUGAAGGUAAAUUACAAAUUCAUAUUAUUGUGAGUUUCUCAACCAAAAAUUUAUUGCUUUGCUUAACAAAUUUUUUAAUCAAAUAUAUGUGAUAUUUUAGUGGAAGCCAUCGAGUAGUUUUAACUAAGGAUAAUCUCAGAAAGUUAUCAGGCUUUCUAUGUAUAGCAACUCCUUAGCUAAACCCAUUAAUAUAUUGGAUCUAGUUGAAAUAUAACCACCUCAAAUCUUUUAUAGAACAAGGUUAGAAAAAAAUGGAUGGAUAAAUCAAAGUUUAAAAGUUGCAGGCCGGGCGCGGUGGGUUACGCCUGUAAUCUCAGCACUUUGGGAGGCCGAGGCAGGCAGAUCACGAGGUCAGGAGAUCGAGACCAUCCUGGCUAACACGGUGAAACCCCGUCUCUACUAAAAAUACAAAACAAAUUAGCUGGGCGUAGUGGCAGGCGCCUAUAGUCCCAGCUACUCGGGAGGCUGAGGCAGGAGAAUGGGGUGAACCCGGGAGGCGGAGCUUGCAGUGAGCCGAGAUCGCGCCACUGCACUUCAGCCUGGGCGACAGAGUGAGACUCAGUCUCAAAAAAAAAAAAAAAAAAAUUGCAGUACCAACUUUUUUGUACUGUUUACCUAUAUAACAAGUUUACCUACAUAACAAAACCUGCACAUGUACCCCUGAACCUAAAAAAAAAGUUAAAAAAAAAGUUGCAGUAAGGUUCUAAGAAACUUUCCAUAAGAAAUAUAACUAAUAUAAACUCCUACUCAUAGCUUGAUUAAAUAAAUAAUGAAAAAAGGCCGAGUGGGGUGGCUCACGCCUACAAUCCCAGCACUUUAGGAGGCCAAGGCAGGCGGAUCACGAGGUCAGGAGAUCAAGACCAUCCUGGCUAACACGGUGAAAUCCUGUCUCUACUAAAAAAAAUACAAAAAAAUUAGCCGGGCUUGGUGGCAGGCGCCUGUAGUCCCAGCUACUCGGGAGGCUGGGGCAGGAGAAUGGCAUGAACCUGGAAGGCGGAGGUUGCAGUGAGCUGAUAUCGCGCCACUGCACUCCAGCCUGGGCUACAGAGCGAGACUCCGUCUCAAAAAAAAAAAAAAAAGAAAGUUAUUAGCUAUCACAAAACAAUGAUCUGAAGAGGUUAGCUGAUUUUGGACACUCAUUUCAUAAAUGGCUCAUAUAAAUAACAAAAGUAACUAAUGAAAGUGUAAAAUUAAAAUAUAUUAACUCUGAAUUGAGUCUAAAUGAAUCCACGAUGAUUAAGAAUUCUUACCCACCCACUUCAAAAUGGAAGCAUCAAUUUCCAGCAAAUACAUUUUACUUCUCUUUACAUGAGUAGCAGUUGCUAAAUCUUUUUUUUGUUUGUUUUUUUAAUUGAGAUGGAGUCUUGCUCUGUCGCCCAGUCUGGAGUGCAGUGGCACGAUCUCAGCUCACUGCAACCUCCAUCUCCUGGGUUCAAGCUAUUCUCCUGCCUCAGCCUCCCAAAUAGUUGGGACUACAGGUGUGUGCCACCACACCCAGCUAAUUUUUGUAUUUUUAGUAGAGACGGGGUUUCACCAUGUUGGCCAGGAUGGUCUUGAUCUUUUGACCUCGUGAUCUCCCUUCCUCGGCCUCCCAAAGUGCUGGGAUUACAGGCGUAAGCCACCGCACCCGGCCAUGCUCUUUUAAUGUACUCACAGUUCUGCACUAUUCUCAUCAGCCUAGCACUCAGUGGAAAUAUUGAGCAGAGAUGCUAGCUGGGCUUCCUGGGUCGUAGGGGCUGAGAAAGCUGUGAAACUCACUCAUUUCCUGCAUCAGGACUUACUUUGGUCCUGGAUGAAUAAUAUUGAAGGUAUAUCCUUAAAAUAUUCCUAACAUCAGAAUUUGUGCAUGUGUUUUCUUCCCCAAGAAAGCUAUAAACAGUGAAAAUUUUGCUGUAAGCUUCCCUGUGUCCUCUCUCCCUCUGUCCCUUCCCCCUCCCCUGAAACUAAAAGGAAUGUUAAAAAACCCGUUUUUCUGUGACCAGCAGACCUUAUCUAUGCUCCCAAUUCCAAUUCCCUGUAAACACAAUUUGUAAAGUCUUGUGAGAUCCUGUCUCCUUUGCCAUGCCGCUGCCAGGUUAUAAAGUAGAUAAAACUUAAGUUACAAUUCUGAGAAGAGUUGCUUCUCUUUCUGUGACCAAAUUCCAACAGCUACUUUUAGAUCUUUCUGGCAUUAUCUCCCCUUUCUUCUGGAGCUUUUCCAAAGGUCUGACAUUUGGAUAUCUACCAAUUACCUUCAAGAUCUGAGACAAAUUAAUUGUCUUUGUUUCUCGCUCUGGUAACAUCUUCCUGCCGCACGUAUUUCCAGCCUUAAAGAGUUUAAAAGGUGAUGAAAAAUCUAACACUGGCUACCCACUCGUGACCCCUUCCACACUGGAAGCUUUGUACUGUCACUCUGCUCGAUAAAGUCUACAGCUCUUUUUCUCUCGGUCCGAUCCCUGUCUCUCUCUCGUCAUGGGCUACCGCCACACCAAUCCUUUGGCAUGGCUAAGGCAAGAACCUUUGGCGUUACAAUUUCAACCUCUAACAAAUACCUGCCUUACUCAUAAAGGACACCUAUUACAUCUAGAGACAAAAAUUUAAAACUGAGUGAUACUUAGUCCAAUCUCUUCAUUUUAAUAAAGAGGAAACUGAAGCACAAGGAAUAAAUGAUUUGUCACAGAUAACACAUCUAGAAACAGGGUUUCUUGAUCCCUACCUCAUUAAAAUACAAUUCAUUGUCUUAACCAUCAGUGAGAUUUGUGAUUGGAGGCAGUAAGAGGGGACCCUAGAAACAGGCCAGACUUAGCAGAAAAGAAAAUGCUUGUUCACAGAGCUGCUUCUCAGUAAAUCACACCAAAAUGAUCACCUGCAAGACUAUAGAGGCCAAACUAUUAUAGACGCCAAGAGUUGGACUCACGAAGGCAGUAAGUAGGGAAAGGGAUGUGGUAUAGUAAAAUGUUACUAAGAAAGGACUUCAGGCAACGAUAGACACGUAUAAAUAAAAUCCACCUGGAGGCUGGGCGCAGUGGCUCACGCUUGUAAUCCCAGCACUUUGGGAGGCCGAGGCAGAUGGAUCACUUGAAGUCAGGAGUUCGAGACCAGCCUGGCCAACAUGGUGAAACCCCGUCUCUACUAAAAAUACAAAAAUUAGCCGGGCGUGGUGGUAGGUGCCUAUAAUCCCAGCUACUCGGGAGGCUGAGGCAGGAGAAUCGCUUGAACCUGGGAGGCAGAGGCUGCAGUGAGCCAAGAUUGCACCACUGCACUCCAGCCUGGGCGAGAGUGAGACUCCGUCUAAAAAAAAAAAAAAAUUCACCUGGAAUGUGGCCUCAGAAUCCCUCCAUCAAAGCCAUGCCUUCUUUACUCACUUGUCUCUCAAAACUUAUUUCUCUUCUCCAUCUUGUUUCCCCAUCAAUGCUUCCUUCAGUUGCUUAUUUUAGUCAGAUUAUUCUGCACAUAAUUUUUUUUUUUUACAUGGCAGGGAGAAAGGUAUAAAGUACAGAACACAUAGGCAGUGUAAUUCUCCUAAGUCCUGAAUUCCCUUGACUUAGUCUUAGCUACAAUUGUAUAAUUUCCCCUAUAUAUUUAAGGGUAGUUUAAAAAUAAAAGAUUAUGUUUCCCUUUAGAAGAACCAUGGGAUUGCUGCAUGAUGCAACUAAUGGUCCACAUUUUUGGAAAACAAACUUGAAGAAAAAUAAAGAAGUAUUAAACUUAUAUAUAUAUGUGACUAGAAUACCUCCUGCCUAUGAAACUUGUUAGAGGAUUAAAUACAUUUAAAGAAAUAAUCCAGAAAUGCUUCUAUGAAAUUUACCAAAUAGAGUGUUAAGUACCUGAAAAGAAAGAAGAUUGGGAGGCUGAGGCAGGUGGACCACUUGAGCCUAGGACUUUGAGACCAGCCUGGGCAACACGGCAAAACCCCAUCUCUAAAAAAAAAAAAAAAAAAAAAAAAAGUUAAAACUAGCCAGGUGUGGGGGUGCACCCGUAGUCCCAGCUACUGGAGGGGCUGAGGUGGGAGGAUUGUUUGAGCCUGGGAGGCUGAGGCCACAGUGAACUGUAAUCACACCACUGUACGCCAGACUGGGCGACAGAGUGAGAUCCUGUCUCAAAACAAAACAAAACAUGAUGGGUGUGGUGGCUCACGCCUGUAAUCCCAGCACUUGGGGAGGCUGAGGCUGGUGGAUCACCUGAGGUCGGGAGUUCGAGACCAGCCUGACCAACAUGGAGAAAUCCUGUCUCUACUAAAAAUACAAAAUUAGCCUGGUGUGGUGGCACAUGCCUGUCACCCCAGCUACUCGGGAGGCUGAGGCAAGAGAAUCACUUGAACCUAGGAGGCAGAGGUUGCAGUGAGCUGAGAUCAUGCCAUUGCACUUCAGCCUGGGCAACAAGAGCGAAACUCCCUCUAUUAAAAAAAAAGAAAAGAAGAAAAAGAAAUAAGAUAGCAGAAUCUUACUCUCCAAAUCUGCUUUCUUUUUCUAAUAUGUACUUUGAAAAAGUAUGCAAUAUUCCUCUUGGUAAAGCAUUAACUUAGUGAUUGGAUUGUGCAUGGCAGUGGCAGCCAAUACGUUAAUCUUAGAGGACUGUUCACUCUCAUUAGUUGUCAAAAGGUAAUGAAGACUGAGAAUUCCUCAGCCCUAUGGAUAACACAUGAGUACAGGCCGAUUUGUAUUUAUUCCAUGAUCCUAUUUUAGUCCCUUGUGGAUAAUGGAAUCCCACUGUGUUAUCUGUCUUUUUCCUUCCUUCCUUCCUUCCCUCCUUCCCUCCCUCCUUCCUUCCCUUCUUCCUUCCUUCUUUCCUUCCCUCCCUCCCUCUCUUUCUCUCCUUGCUUCCUUCCUUUUCUUUUUCUCUUUCUUCUUUCUUUCUUUCCUUUCUUUUAAUUUCUUUCUCUCUUUCUUUCUUUCUUUCCCUCUCUCUUUCUCUCUGUCUCUCUCUCUCUUUCUCUUUCUUUCUUUCAUCAGGAUCUCACUCUGUUGCCCAGGCUGGAGUGCAGUGAUGCAAUCAUAGCUUACUGCAGCCUCAAACUCCAGGGCUUAAGCGAGCCUCCUAUCUCAGCCUCCUGAGUAGCUGGGACUACAGGUGUGCACCACUACAUGUAGCUAUUUUCUAAAAAAUUUCUGUAGAGACGGGGUCUCACUAUGUUGCCCAGGAUGAUCUCGAACUUCUGUCCUCAAGCAAUCCACUUGCUUCGACCUCUCGAAGGGCUGGGAUUAUAGGCGUAAGCCGCCACACCCAGCCCCGAUUAGGUUAUUUCUUUUUAAAAUAUCUCUUAUAUUUUCAAGUAAAUUGACAUUUGUGAACUUUUUAUUUCUAUCAUUUAUUGUUAUUAUAGAAAUUAUCAUCUUAAAGUGUGAACAUGUAAACAUCUGGCUUCUGGAGAUUGUGGUCUACCUAAUUCUGAACCCUAAGAGUUUGCAUCUAGGGUUGCUUAACCCUAUCUGAAAAAUAGGAAAGUUCCAGCUCAGACUCUGGAAUAAUUCACAUCCUCUGUAUGUGGUGGAUAAGAAACGAGAUCUUCAGCCCAACACUGGGUCAUCUGAUCCUGUUUCCCCAGUAUUUCCAGGAAGUUGAUUCUUUAUUUAGACUUCUGUGCCUGAGUCCUUGCCUUCCACAUUGGUACAUCAGAAACCUGACUGCGGCUUUUCUCCCUAUGCCUCACUGACCCCUUUCCCUGCAAAUUGGACUCUCUUCUAUCUCCCCAAUUCCAUCUAGCCUAGUGAAUGAGUUGCUCCUCUGCACGUCACUUUCUGUGAUCAAAUUCCAACAGCUACUUUUAGAUCUUUCUGGCAUUAUCUCCCCUUUCUUCUGGAGCUUUUCCAAAGGUCUGACAUUUGGACAUCUACCAAUCACCUGCCUUUGUUGACAAAAUGUGGUAGAGCUAGAAUGCAAGGCCAGAUUUCAUCACCUCCAAAGACUGCUUGUCUGCACCAGAUCCAACCACUGUUUAUAUGGACAUUUUGAAGAGGUUCCCCAGAUGAAGGGCCAAGAUAGUGGCUCAUGCCUAUAAUCCCAGCACUUUGGGAGGCUGAGGCAAAAGGAUUGCUUGAGGCCAGAAGUUCAAGAUCACCCUGGACAACAAAGUGAGAUCCUGUCUCUAAAAAUAAAAGUAAAUAAUAAAUGUUUACAAAUGUUCCCCAAAUGAGAGAUUUAGCAGAGCAAGUUCUGCAAAGAAGGCCUCUUGCAAACACUGGCUUCCUAAACAGUCAACUCACUGGGGCAGAAGCCAACUCUCUUAGUCUAGUUGAUGUCAGUGUAACUGAACGCCUGUUAGUCGAGGUGAGACACUGUCCCCUAGCACGCCUAGGGCAUGGAGGUAAAGAUGACCCAUGAUAAGGUGGACUCAUUUGGUAGCAAAGGCAAAUUGAAGAUUUCUUGAUCCAUAAAUCAGUCUAUAAAAAGUAAGUAAGACUUUGGACUAACGGUUGGUAGAUUUUGGAUACCUGGGGUUUUUUCUUGUUUUGUUUUGUUUUUGCCUGUUUGCAGGCAUCCAACACCCCUCUCGAAUCAGUGUCUUGCGGAAGCAGAAGAAAAGUAAUACAUCUAUUGUAUUUUGAAAUGAAAGCAAGAAUUAUUUUGCUGCAGAGCUAUAGCUUAACAUUUUUAGCAAAAUGUGGAUCCUUCUUCUCAAUCUUCAUUUAGGAUGCUGUGACUACAGCCCUCUGUUUAGUUAGUGGAAUUGAGAACAAGGCCCAGGUGGAUGAUUGAGGACUAAACCCCAAACUUGCCUUGGAUCACUCCACUGUUUCAGGUAAGAUCAGGGGGUAGUUAACUCUAAGUUAUACAAAUUGUCUGCAGUAGCAUGAGAGUACACCUUUCAGAUCUCCUACUGCAGGAAGCAUAAUUUAUUUCCAGCCCUAGCUGCUGGUGUGCCCAGCAUUGAGGCCACACUUCCUGUGGGCUGCUCCCAGUCAAUGACUGAGUAUGGCAGGGAUACCAAGGAGGCCCCUUCCUGGGAGGCAGAGGCUCCUCUAAUGGGCAACUUAGGUUUGCCGACUCCCUUUUGACCUUGCUGAAACUUUCUUAGAACUACAAGGCAGUCUAUGGCCUGUCUUUCCUCCUUCAUCCCUCCCUCCCUGCCUCCCUCCCUCCCUCCCCCCCUCCCUCCCUCCCUCCCUCCCUUCCUUCCUUCCUUCUUUCCUUCCUUCCUUCCUUCCUUCCUUCCUUCCUUCCUUCCUUCCUUCCUCCCUUCCUUUCUUUCUCCCUCCCUCCUUUUCUCCUCUUUCCCUCUCCAGUUUCUUCCUUUCUUCCUUCCUUCCUUUCUCCUCCCUCCUCUCCCUUCUCUCUUCCUUCCUCCCUCCCUCCCUCACUCCCUUCCUUCCUUCCUUCUUUCCCUCCUUCCCUCUGUCUUCCCAGGGGGCAGACCUGUGUCAUGGUCUGAUGGCUCUCCUAUCACCCUCUUGUUUCCUUCUCAUUAUCCCUCCCCAGUGUUUUCGCCAAUUAAUCUCUUAUCCAGCUAAUCCUUUUUUGGCAUUUGCUUGUCAGACCACCUGGACUAAAUCAUUAUUUAACUAAUUUGUUUUGCAUGUGUAAUUUAGGAUCAAACAUCACUUCUGAGUUCAGGGGCACAUAUCAUUCAUUAGAAGGGGCAAGACCUAAUGCUGAAAAAAAAAAAAACCAGUAUGUGCAUUCUGUGGAUCAACUGACUCUGUUGACCUAAACAUGUAGAACAGUAUUCCAGUUCUUAAUACUUUAAAAUCUCUAGAGCAAGUCCUUAUAGCUUGGAAGAAAACCAUUGGAAAGCCAAAAGGAAAGAAGUGACACCAGCCAAUUCUCCUCAUUCUAGGUCCAGGGCAAUGAACUUAGGGAGGAGGUCGUGCAAACUGGAAACCAUAGCCCUGUCUCAUGGCUUAACUAGGGAUGGUUAAAGUUCUGAGAGGCAGGUUGUCACCUCAUUAUCUAUCCACCCAUGCACACACAGUGAAGUCCAUGGAGCACUCACUCUACGACCAGCACUGGUGGGCCCUGAAGAUAACAGAGGUUAUCCUCAAGAAACUCAAGUCUAUGGAGAAGAUAGGCUUGGAAACAGACAGACUGAUGACACAAUACAAGCCCUAAAACUGAGAUGUGAACUGACUUGGAAAGUAUGAUAAGAACACCUCCAACUGCUUGGCAGAUGGAAAGGCAUUUAAAGUGGAAAUUGAAGGACAGAAGAGAUGGUCAGACAGUGAAGAUAAGUGACACGAAGGAGCUCCAUUCACAGAGAGCGAAAUAGAUACAUCUACAGUCUUUUUCUUCUUUUUCUUUUCUUUCAGCCAGGGUCUCACUCUGUCACUCAGGCUGGAGUGCAGUGGCGCGAUCUCAGCUCACUGCUGUCUCAACUUUCUGGGCUCAAGUGAUCCUCCCACCUCAGCCUCCCAAGUAGCUGGGACCACAGGUGGAUGCCACCAUGCCCAGCUAAUUUUUAUUUUAUUUUUGAUAGAGAUGAGGUCUCCCUAUGUUACCCAGGCUGGUCUCUGACUCCUGGCCCAAAGUGAUCCUCCUGCCUCAGCCUCCCAAAGUGCUGAGAUUACGGGUAUGAGUCACUGUGCCUGGAUUUUUUUUUUUUUAAACACUGAGAUCCUAGGAAACAAAUUCACAAUCUUUUAAGGUGUUUCUGGGGUGCCACAAGAUGUUUCUGCCUGCUGCUUGGCACUGGGCUUGCUGGCCUUGCUGCAGGCACUCGGCCUUCUCUCCCUUCUCCAGGAUGUCGAUUUUUUUCACACUCAUGCUGUUUAUUCAUAACAUCUUCACCCAGCCUAGACUGUGGACCAGACAUGGGGACAACGUGAGCAAGACAGACAAGAUCCCUGCCCUCCUGCAUCUUGUAUUCUGAUGGGGGAGACAGAAGAUAAGGAAAUCCCAACACUUUGGGAGGCCAAGGCAGGCAGAUCACUUGAGGUCAGGAGUUCGAGACCAGCCUGGCCAACAUGGUGAAACCUCAUAGUGAUAGAGAAAACAGGAGACCUGAUGAGCUCUGAUAGAGGCAGACCUUUCCUCUAUCAUGGCUUUGCAUGUUCCCUUUGGUUAAUAUGAUGGCGAGGAUGAGGUUGACUACUUGAGAGUGGGUGCUCAUGGCCUUCCUGCUAAAAGGCCCCAUAGCCUUGCAUUUCAACAAUCCCAUGUUUAAUGUCUUGGAGUAAAGGGUAUGGUACCACCCUAACUUUGAAUGUUAUCCUCAGCAGGUUAAAUCCGAUUAGGAAGGUGUUUUUGGCUGGGCGCAGUGGCUCACACCUGUAAUCCCAACACUUUAGGAGGCUAAGGCAGGAGGGUUGCUUGAGGCCAGGAGUUCAAGACCAACCUGGGCAACAUGGUGAAACCCCCGUCUCUACAAAAAAUUUUAAAAAUUCGCUGGACGAGGUGUGGUGGCUCGUGCCUGUAGUCCUAGCUACUCAGAAUAGUUUGAGCCCAGGAGUUCGAGGUUACAGUGAGCUGUGAUGGCACCACUGCACUCCAACCUGGGCAACUGAGACCCUAUCUUCAAAAAAAAAAAGAAAGUAUUUCAGUCUUUUAGUUUCCUAGAGCUGCUGUAACCAAUUAUUACAAAGUAAGUGGUUUAAAGCAACAGAAAUUUAUUCUCGUACAGCUCUGGAGGUUAGAAGUCUAAAAUCAAGGCAUAUUCAGGGUUAUGCUCUCUCUGAAGUUUCCAAAGGAGGGUCAUUCACUGCCUCUUCUAGCUUCUGGUGGCUGUCUGCAAUCUGUGUGUGUGUGUGUGUGUGUGUGUUUUAGUUUUAUUUUUGAGAUUCAGGCUGAAGUGCAGUGGCAUGAUCUCGGCUCACUGCAAUCUCGGCCUCCCAGGUUCAAGCGAUUCUUGUGUCUCAGCCUCCUGAGGAGCUGGGACUUCAGACCCACGCCACCUCGCCCAGCUAAUUUUUUUUUUUUUUUUUUUUUUUUUUUGAGAUGGAGUCUCACUCUGUCGCCCAGGCUGGAGUGCAGUGGCGCGAUCUCGGCUCACUGCAAGCUCCGCCUCCCAGGUUCACGCCAUUCUCCUGCCUCAGCCUUCCGAGUAGCUGGGACUACAGGCACCCACCACCAAGCCCAGCUAAUUUUUUGUAUUUUUAGUAGAGACGGGGUUUCACCAUAUUAGCCAGGAUGGUCUCCAUCUCCUGACCUCGUGAUCUGCUCGCCUCGGCCUCCCAAACUGCUGAGAUUACAGGUGUGAGCCACUGUGCCCGGCUUUUUUUUUUUUUUUAGACAGAGUCUCACUUUGUCACCCAGGCUGGAGUGCAGUGGCACUAUCUCAGCUCACCGCAAGCUCCAACUCCCGGGUUCACAUCAUUUUCCUGCCUCAGCCUCCUGAGUAGCUGGGACUACAGGCACCUGCCACCACGCCCUGCUAAUUUUUUUUUUUUUUUUUUUUUUUUUUGUGAGACGGAGUCUAGCUUUGUUACCAGGCUGGAGUGCAGUAACAUAGUCUCAGCUCACUGUAACCUCUGCCUCCUGGGUUCAAGCAAUUCUCCUGCCUCAGCCUCCUGAGUAACUGGGAUUACAGGCACACGCCACCACACCCAGCUAAUUUUUGUAUUUUUUUUUUUUUUUUUAGUAGAGACAGGGUUUCACUGUGUUACCCAGGAUGGUCUCGAUCUCCUGACCUGGUGAUCCGCCCGCCUCGGCCUCCCAAAGUGGUGGGAUUACAGGCGUGAGCCACCGCACCCGGCCUUUUUUUGGUAUUUUUAGUGGUGACACAGAUUCAGUAUGCUGUGGAGGCUGGUCUUGAACUCCUGAACUCAAGUGAUCCACCCACCUCGGCCUCCCGAAGUGCUGGGAUUACAGGCAUGAGCCAUCACGCCCAGCCGGCUGCCUGCAAUCUUUAGCCUUCCUCAGCUGGCAGGUGCAUCACUCCAGUCUCUGCCUCUGUCAUCACAUCGCGUUCUCCCCAUGUGUCUGUUUAUGUGUCCAGAUUCCCUCCUAUAAGGACACUCAUCAUUGGAUUCAGGUGCACACUAAUCCAGUAUGAUCUCAUCUUGACUUAAUUACAUCUGUGAAGACCCUAUUUCCAAAUAAGGUCACAAUCUGAGGUUCUGCGUGGGCAUGAAUUUGGGGGAGACACUCUUCAACUCAGUAGAGAAGGGGAGUGGAGUAAUCACAUUCUGCUCUGUAAGGAUGACACAGGGAUGAACUCGACACUAGAAAAGGUAGUGAUGGAGAAAACAGGAGACCUGGUGAGCUCUGAUAGAGACAGGCCUUUCCUCUAUCAUGGCUUUGCGUGUUCCCUUUGGUUAGGAACACAAGUUUCCAUCAAUGGGUCUACCUUCAGAACUCUUCAGUGUUCAGACUGCAUUCAGAAAUAUACUUGAGGGCCGGGCGCAGCGGCUCACGCCUGUAAUCCCAACACUUUGGGAGGCUGAGGCAGGCAGAUCACUUGAGGUCAGGAGUUCGAGACCAGCCUGGCCAACAUGGUGAAACCCCUUCUCUACUAAAAAUACAAAAAUUAGCCGGGCGUGUGUCAGGAGCCUAUAAUCCCAGCUGCUCUGGAAGCCGAGGAAGGAGAAUUGCUUUAACCUGGGAGGUGGCAGGUUGCAGUGAGCUGAGAGCAUGCCACUGCACCACUGCAGUCUGGGUGACAGAGUGAGACUCCAUCUCAAAAAAAAAAAAAAAAAAAAAAAUCUGCUCGAGUUUUAUUUCUUACUAAAGUUUUUUUUGUAAAAAAAAAAAAAUAAUAAGUACGUGGGAUUUAGUUAUAGUUUCCUUUAUAUUUUUCCAUUUGUUUGAGAUUUGUCCUAUUAAAAUUAGUUAAAAGUGAAAAAUGAUUUCAUGAGUUAAAUUUUUUUUCUUUUUUAAUGGGGAAAUAAUUUCCAAUUCACAGAAAACUUGAAAGAAUAAGAAUAGUACUAAGAACACUUAGAUUGUUCCCCUACUGUUAGCAUUUUACCCCAUUUGCUUUAUCUUUUGUUCUGUUUAUCUCUUCCUAAUCAUUUUUCCCUGAACUCUUUUGAGGGUAUGUUACAUACAGUAAGGCUCUUUAUCCCAUAGGAAAUGACAAUGUACAUUUCCUAACCACUUCACAGUUAUUAAUCUCAGUAAAUUUGACACCAUACAAUGACUUUAUCUAAUCUAUCAGCCUCAUUGGUAUUCCAGUUUUGUCAGUUAACUCAAUAAUGUCCGUUUUUGUUUGUUUGUUAAAGACAGGGUCUUGCUCUGUUGCCCAGGCUGGAGUGCAGUAGUGCAAUCUCAGCUCACUGCAACCUCUACUUCCUGGGUUCAAGCGAUUCUCUCACCUCAGCCUCCUGACUGACUAGCUGGGACUACAAGAGAAACAAAUGCUGGCCUUGAGACUCAAAUAACUACAGUUGACCCUUGAAAAUCAUGGAUUUGAACUGCAAGGUCCACUUAUACAUGGACUUUUUUCCACCUCUGCCAUCCCUGAGACAGCAAGACCAACCCCUCCUCUUCCCUGUCCUCCCUAGCCUACUCAACAUGAAGAUGACGAGGAUGAAGACUUUUAUGAUGAUCCACUUCCAUUUAAUGAAUAGUAACUAUAUUUUCUCUUCCUUAUGACUUUCUUAAUAACAUUUAUUUUAUCUAGCUUACUUUAUUGUAAGAAUACUGUCUAUAAUAUGUAGAACAUACAAAAUAUAUAUUAAUAAUUGCCUGUUUAUGUUAUUGAUAAGACUCAUGGUUAACAGCAGGCUAUUAGUAGCUAAGUUUUGGAGGAGUCAAAAGUUAUAUAUGGAUUUUCAACUGUAUGGGGUUCAGCACCCCUGAUAUGGUUUAGCUGUGUCCCCACCCAAAUCUCAUUUUGAAUUGUAGUUCCCAUAAUCCCCAGUGUCAUAGGAGGGACCUGGUGGGAGGUAAUAGAAUCAUGGGGGCAGGUGCUGUUCUUGUGAUAGUGAAUACAUCUCACGAGAUCUGAUGGUUUUAUAAGGGCAGUUUCCCUGCACAUGCUCUCUUGCCUGUGGCCAUGUAAGACAGGCCUUUGCUCUUCCUUUGCCUUCUUCCAUGAUUGUGAGGCCUCCCUAGCCAUGUGGAACUGAGUCCAUUAAACCUCUUUUUCUUUAUA